Long non-coding RNA from Passer montanus (Eurasian tree sparrow), 295 nucleotides. RefSeq lists it as uncharacterized. The transcript has 3 exons. The record is from RefSeq and is a predicted model, not a curated record. Lineage: Eukaryota; Metazoa; Chordata; Aves; Passeriformes; Passeridae.
GGGUGCUCUGCCUGUGAUCAGAGACACAGCUGGGCCCAGGAUUAGUAGUGUUUGAUUUAGCAGAUGAGACUAAUGCCCAAUACCCUCACCACGAGUUGUUACAGCACUGGGUGUGAGCACACCACUCGAUCAGGGCUCUGUGCCCUGGGUGGCCUCUGAUUUCUGUGUGACCCCAGAGCUCUUAACCAGGGUCACCUAGCGAGGAUGGUGCAAGAGGGCUUUGCUACCCUCAAUAGCUGAUAACGUUACGUUGAACAAUUUUAGCCUGCUAAGCUGACUUUAACCUAAAGCAAGG